Molecule: non-coding RNA, 24 nt
Filed under: Arabidopsis thaliana (thale cress)
Lineage: Eukaryota; Viridiplantae; Streptophyta; Magnoliopsida; Brassicales; Brassicaceae
Source: RNAcentral
AGGUGUGUUUACGAGAUGGCCGGG